Molecule: ribosomal RNA, 503 nt
Filed under: uncultured bacterium
Lineage: Bacteria
Description: partial 16S ribosomal RNA
Rfam family: Bacterial small subunit ribosomal RNA (bases 20-324)
Source: RNAcentral
GACGAACGCUGGCGGCGUGCUUAACACAUGCAAGUCGAACGGUAAGGCCUUUCGGGGUCCACGAGUGGCGAACGGGUGAGUAACACGUGGGUGAUCUGCCCUGCACUUCGGGAUAAGCCCGGGAAACUGGGUCUAAUACCGGAUAGGACUGCGCGGUGCAUGCCGUGUGGUGGAAAGAUUUAUCGGUGCAGGAUGGGCCCGCGGCCUAUCAGCUUGUUGGUGGGGUAAUGGCCUACCAAGGCGACGACGGGUAGCCGGCCUGAGAGGGCGACCGGCCACACGUGACGCGCCCACCGACACACCCGUGCGGGGGGGGCAGGUGUGGAAAUAAUAGCGUAGGGCGCAAGAGCCGGAGGCAGCGGCGGGGGGUGGUGCAUUACCCCUGUCGGGUUACAACCCCCUGCCAGCGGGGACGAGGAGUGGGUGAGGCUACAGGCAAAAGAGGCCCCGCCCCACUACUGGCCAUCAGCGGCGGUAAUAACGGAAGAACCACACCUCCGACC